Molecule: ribosomal RNA, 262 nt
Filed under: uncultured bacterium
Lineage: Bacteria
Description: partial 16S ribosomal RNA
Rfam family: Bacterial small subunit ribosomal RNA
Source: RNAcentral
CGGCCGCGUCGACCAACUCGGAGGAAGGUGAGGACGACGUCAAAUCAUCAUGCCCCUUAUGUCUUGGGCUUCACGCAUGCUACAAUGGCCGGUACAAUGGGUUGCGAUACUGUGAGGUGGAGCUAAUCCCAUAAAACCGAUCGUAGUCCGGAUCGCAGUCUGCAACUCGACUGCGUGAAGUCGGAAUCGCUAGUAAUCGUGAAUCAGAAUGUCACGGUGAAUACGUUCCCGGGCCUUGUACACACCGCCGUCGACGCGGCCG